This is a non-coding RNA of Stegodyphus mimosarum, 73 nucleotides long. The record is from Rfam. NCBI's taxonomy places the organism in Eukaryota, Metazoa, Arthropoda, Arachnida, Araneae, Eresidae.
GUCUUCGUAGUGUAAUGGUCAGCACACUCGGCGCGUUUUCGAGAAGUCAGAGGUUCGAAUCCCGGCAAGGGCA